UGCGUCUCAAGAGGCUGUGCAUGACCAUCUCUGGGUGUGCUGGAGUUCUUGUACCCCUUGGUCUGAGACCUUCACUGGCCUCAGUGGCAGGUGGGUUCUGAUGACCUCACACUCUCAGGAGCUCUGCCAGGGUCCAUCUCUCAGAUGUGCCGUGCGGUGAGGAAAAAGAGCGGCCUGUCUUCCUUGGCAUUGGCUGUCUGGAACUCAUCCCGCAGCCGGAACUGCCACUCAUCUUCUAGCUCCAGGCGGACCACCGUCUGGCGAAGUGAGUUCCGGUCUUGGCAGAUCACACACAAGGUGGCUCCUUGAGAGGGCAAGGACAGAGGCAAGGAGAGAAAGGGGCUCCUACUCUUGGCUUUGACACCAGGGCAACGUGGGUUUGACCUGAGCAUCUGUCCAUCAGUGCUGCCACACUCACCUUGGAUGUGAUGUGGAAAGACCUGUGCCCACCCACUGCAAUCUGCUUCUUCAUGACACUGAAGCGAUUGAACCGGCAGAGCAGGAGGCCAGCACUGUGCACACGGAGGUUGAAGUCUACAUCGUCACAUGUAAACCUGCUCGGAAACAGAGGAGGAGCAGCCCUGGUUUCCUGUCACGAGAGGCACACUGUGGCCCCCAAGGCUGAGAGAAGGGAAAAGUGUGCCCAGGGCAUCUCACCUGCUCCGUUCUCCGGCACAGUCCACAUCUGCUACAUUCCACAUCACACAGGAGUCAUCAGCAAUGACGAUGAAGGGCCAGACGUCCUGAGGCUUGACCCCCAGCUCCUCCUGCCGGUUCCGCUCCAGCUCCAGCCUAACCUGAUGUCUCAUGACAGAGCAUUAAAGAAGAGAGCGGGGGUGGACAUCUCACCAACAUGUGAUGUGUCCCAGGUCAUCACCUCAAGUUGAUUAUUCUAAGUAACUCUUACAGCAACUGUUACGGCUAUUUUUGACAUGGGAUCUCAUGUAGCCCAGAUUGGACCUGAAUACCUACACAGCCUUGAAAUUCUGAUCUUCCUGCCUUCAGUUCCAUGGUACUAGGACUACAGAAUGAGUCAACACUCAGUUUAUGUGAUGCUAGAGAAUCCUGGGUUUCGUGCAUGUUAGGUAAGGAGUCUAACUAACAGCCAAGCCACCUCUCCAGGCCCAUCAGCAAGCUUUCUCAGAAGAAUUAUUACUGCCCACUUUUACCAGCAAGGAAACUGAGGCUUGGCUAUAUUAAGUGACCACAUAAUUAGCGAGUGUUAUCACAAAGCUCAAGCAUGAGUGAAUUCUAAGACCACACCUACAGCAACAUCCCCCAGGCUCUGUCACCAUACUAUUUCUGAGCCCUGCUCCAAGUACCCUUGACUCUUUCAGGCAGCUAUGUGUCUAUGUCCCCACCUCAGCAAUGGAUCAUCUGACCCCCUGGAACUCCAAGGCAGUACCUUGUCUGUGACGAGGGGCAAGCGCAUGCUCUCCAGCUGGCCUCCGGGUUGGCUGAAAACAAAGUGGUGCUCCUUGGACUUGGGGAUGAUGAAGUGAAGUUGGACCUCCUCUCCUAGCAUGGAGCAAGAGAAGGCAAAGACGUGCAGGGUGGACUCAGAGAGCUGGGGUGCGAGGGGAGAGCACAGAGCUUAGCGUCACAGUCCAACUUGCUUCCCAAAAGAACCCAGGCCCAGCCUGGCCAUGACUACACCCAGGUCAUGCCCACCUCUACCCCCAAGUGCAAGAGCACAGAUGCUCAGAUCUGGCUACUGGGUGAACACACCCAAGAUUACCCAUGUAGGGCUAAAGCCUGGCUCCAUCCUGAGUCCCUGUCACUUGGGUCACCAAGUCUUUCUGCCCUUGAGAUUUGACCUAGAGACCCAGCAAGGGUCAGCAAAUAAAGCAUUCAUGCAGAUCUCAUGGUGUGUAUGGGUGUGUAUGGGUGUGUGUACCUGUGUGUGAUGUGUGUGUGUGUGUGUGUGUGUGUGUGUGUGUACAGAUGUUCCUGUGUAUGUAUAUGUAGAUCAUAGGACCACCUUGGGUAUCUCUCUUCAAGCACUGUCCACCUUACUUUUUUGAGAUGAGCUCUUUCAUUAGCCUAGAACCUGCAAA
RNAcentral lists this long non-coding RNA (2057 nucleotides) under Mus musculus (house mouse). RNAcentral's name for it is "predicted gene, 48140". Lineage: Eukaryota; Metazoa; Chordata; Mammalia; Rodentia; Muridae. The record is from RNAcentral.